Molecule: ribosomal RNA, 497 nt
Filed under: uncultured bacterium
Lineage: Bacteria
Description: partial 16S ribosomal RNA
Rfam family: Bacterial small subunit ribosomal RNA
Source: RNAcentral
GAUGAACGCUGGCGGCGUGCCUAAUACAUGCAAGUCGAGCGAACAGACGAGGAGCUUGCUCCUCUGACGUUAGCGGCGGACGGGUGAGUAACACGUGGAUAACCUACCUAUAAGACUGGGAUAACUUCGGGAAACCGGAGCUAAUACCGGAUAAUAUAUUGAACCGCAUGGUUCAAUAGUGAAAGACGGUUUUGCUGUCACUUAUAGAUGGAUCCGCGCCGCAUUACCUAGUUGGUAAGGUAACGGCUUACCAAGGCGACGAUGCGUAGCCGACCUGAGAGGGUGAUCGGCCACACUGGAACUGAGACACGGUCCAGACUCCUACGGGAGGCAGCAGUAGGGAAUCUUCCGCAAUGGGCGAAAGCCUGACGGAGCAACGCCGCGUGAGUGAUGAAGGUCUUCGGAUCGUAAAACUCUGUUAUUAGGGAAGAACAAAUGUGUAAGUAACUAUGCACGUCUUGACGGUACCUAAUCAGAAAGCCACGGCUAACUACGUG